This 434-nucleotide ribosomal RNA is filed under the name uncultured Clostridium sp. RNAcentral's name for it is "partial 16S ribosomal RNA". It matches the Rfam family "Bacterial small subunit ribosomal RNA", at positions 341 to 792 of the family's 1533-position model. Lineage: Bacteria; Bacillati; Bacillota; Clostridia; Eubacteriales; Clostridiaceae. The record is from RNAcentral.
ACGGGAGGCAGCAGUGGGGAAUAUUAGGCAAUGGGGGGAACCCUGACCCAGCAACGCCGCGUGAAGGAUGAAGGUUUUCGGAUUGUAAACUUCUUUGGCAGGGGACGAUAAUGACGGUACCCUGAGAACAAGCCACGGCUAACUACGUGCCAGCAGCCGCGGUAAUACGUAGGUGGCGAGCGUUGUCCGGAUUUACUGGGUGUAAAGGGCGAGUAGGCGGGAAUGCAAGUCAGAUGUGAAAUACCGAGGCUUAACCUCGGAGCUGCAUUUGAAACUGCAUUUCUUGAGUGAUGGAGAGGCAGGCGGAAUUCCCGGUGUAGCGGUGAAAUGCAUAGAGAUCGGGAGGAACACCAGUGGCGAAGGCGGCCUGCUGGACAUUAACUGACGCUGAGGCACGAAGGUGCGGGGAUCAAACAGGAUUAGAUACCCUGGUA